This 253-nucleotide ribosomal RNA is filed under the name uncultured bacterium. RNAcentral describes it as "partial 16S ribosomal RNA". It matches the Rfam family "Bacterial small subunit ribosomal RNA", at positions 524 to 776 of the family's 1533-position model. The record is from RNAcentral.
UACGUAGGGUGCAAGCGUUGUCCGGAAUUAUUGGGCGUAAAGAGCUCGUAGGCGGUCUGUCGCGUCGGCUGUGAAAACUCGGGGCUCAACUCCGGAUCUGCGGUGGGUACGGGCAGACUAGAGUGAUGUAGGGGAGACUGGAAUUCCUGGUGUAGCGGUGAAAUGCGCAGAUAUCAGGAGGAACACCGAUGGCGAAGGCAGGUCUCUGGGCAUUAACUGACGCUGAGGAGCGAAAGCAUGGGGAGCGAACAGG